AGUGGCCAAGAGUAACAUUUACCCUUCUGAGUCAUUAGCUCAGUCUUACAGUGAGGGAAACUGAGGCCCAGAGAGGAGAAUUCAAGGUCACAAAGGAAAAAUCAUAAUGGUUAGAUGUCUUAGCUCAUCGGUGGCUCUCCUCCUUGUCCUGGCACCAUCCGAUUAUUGAAUGGCACUAGAAUGGACAUUUCAAAGGAUAACCUUGAAAAAUAAAGGAGCAAUGAAGUUCUUCCCUCACUCAGUGGCCAGUCCGCACACCGUUCAGGGGUGUGAUCAACUUCAUCGAAAGGACUCAGCCCCUCCGAAGGAGGUCAAUCUCCCGGCAGAGACUUUAAAGAAAGCGCAUCGCCCGAAGGUCUGCUUCUCCCAGGAGGGGAUUUACUCUUCACCUCUCCGCCUCAGGAGUGUUAA
Myotis brandtii (Brandt's bat) is the source of this 411-nucleotide long non-coding RNA. RefSeq lists it as uncharacterized. The record is from RefSeq and is a predicted model, not a curated record. The transcript has 3 exons. NCBI's taxonomy places the organism in Eukaryota, Metazoa, Chordata, Mammalia, Chiroptera, Vespertilionidae.